Molecule: ribosomal RNA, 1345 nt
Filed under: uncultured bacterium
Lineage: Bacteria
Description: bacterial SSU rRNA
Rfam family: Bacterial small subunit ribosomal RNA
Source: RNAcentral
GAUGAACGCUAGCGGGGGGCCUAACACAUGCAAGCCGAGCGGUAUUGUUUCUUCGGAAAUGAGAGAGCGGCGUACGGGUGCGGAACACGUGUGCAACCUGCCUUUAUCUGGGGGAUAGCCUUUCGAAAGGAAGAUUAAUACUCCAUAAUAUAUUGAACGGCAUCGUUUAAUAUUGAAAGCUCCGGCGGAUAGAGAUGGGCACGCGCAAGAUUAGCUAGUUGGUGAGGUAACGGCUCACCAAGGCGAUGAUCUUUAGGGGGCCUGAGAGGGUGAUCCCCCACACUGGUACUGAGACACGGACCAGACUCCUACGGGAGGCAGCAGUGAGGAAUAUUGGUCAAUGGGUGCAAGCCUGAACCAGCCAUCCCGCGUGAAGGACGACUGCCCUAUGGGUUGUAAACUUCUUUUGUAUAGGGAUAAACCUACCCUCGUGAGGGUAGCUGAAGGUACUAUACGAAUAAGCACCGGCUAACUCCGUGCCAGCAGCCGCGGUAAUACGGAGGGUGCAAGCGUUAUCCGGAUUUAUUGGGUUUAAAGGGUCCGUAGGCGGACUUAUAAGUCAGUGGUGAAAGCCUGUCGCUUAACGAUAGAACUGCCAUUGAUACUGUAAGUCUUGAGUAUAUUUGAGGUAGCUGGAAUAAGUAGUGUAGCGGUGAAAUGCAUAGAUAUUACUUAGAACACCAAUUGCGAAGGCAGGUUACCAAGAUAUAACUGACGCUGAGGGACGAAAGCGUGGGGAGCGAACAGGAUUAGAUACCCUGGUAGUCCACGCCGUAAACGAUGCUAACUCGUUUUUGGGCUUUAGGGUUCAGAGACCAAGCGAAAGUGAUAAGUUAGCCACCUGGGGAGUACGCUCGCAAGAGUGAAACUCAGAGGAAUUGACGGGGGCCCGCACAAGCGGUGGAUUAUGUGGUUUAAUUCGAUGAUACGCGAGGAACCUUACCAAGACUUAAAUGGGAAUUGACAGCUUUAGAAAUAGAGCUUUCUUCGGACAAUUUUCAAGGUGCUGCAUGGUUGUCGUCAGCUCGUGCCGUGAGGUGUUAGGUUAAGUCCUGCAACGAGCGCAACCCCUGUCACUAGUUGCCAUCAUUCAGUUGGGGACUCUAGUGAGACUGCCUACGCAAGUAGAGAGGAAGGUGGGGAUGACGUCAAAUCAUCACGGCCCUUACGUCUUGGGCCACACACGUAAUACAAUGGCCGGUACAGAGGGCAGCUACACAGCGAUGUGAUGCAAAUCUCGAAAGCCGGUCUCAGUUCGGAUUGGAGUCUGCAACUCGACUCUAUGAAGCUGGAAUCGCUAGUAAUCGCGCAUCAGCCAUGGCGCGGUGAAUACGUUCCCGGGCCU